AUGCAUGGCCUUCCUCCAAGCUUAGCUGCCUCCCGAAGCUCAACAUGUCAUGCUGCUUCAACAAAUCGUCCCAGCCUCCGUUCAAAGUUCACUUUGCUACUGCUAAUGGGAAGCAUUCAGCCCUCCUGCACUCGCAUGGUGUUGUUUGCGCUGGACGCGUGCAUCGUCAACGACACCGGAGGAGUCUGCAGCGCCGGCCCUGCGGGCGCCGGCUCUCCGAAGCACUGUCCCAUCGAGUGGCGCUAUCUUCCGUGGGUGCAUGCCAUGCCGCAAGGUGGACCACGCCGUGUGCAUCGCAUGGCGGAGAAGCGCAUUGCAGCUAAUCUACGGCGCCACGAGGAGCUAUUGGCUGCUGUAGCAGUGUCACGCUAG
This 372-nucleotide ribosomal RNA is filed under the name Triticum aestivum (bread wheat). Its description in RNAcentral is "partial small subunit ribosomal RNA". The record is from RNAcentral. Lineage: Eukaryota; Viridiplantae; Streptophyta; Magnoliopsida; Poales; Poaceae.